UGGCGGACGGGUGAGUAAUGUCUGGGAAACUGCCUGAUGGAGGGGGAUAACUACUGGAAACGGUAGCUAAUACCGCAUAACGUCGCAAGACCAAAGAGGGGGACCUUCGGGCCUCUUGCCAUCGGAUGUGCCCAGAUGGGAUUAGCUAGUAGGUGGGGUAACGGCUCACCUAGGCGACGAUCCCUAGCUGGUCUGAGAGGAUGACCAGCCGCACUGGAACUGAGACACGGUCCAG
RNAcentral lists this ribosomal RNA (235 nucleotides) under uncultured bacterium. RNAcentral's name for it is "partial 16S ribosomal RNA". It matches the Rfam family "Bacterial small subunit ribosomal RNA", at positions 96 to 334 of the family's 1533-position model. The record is from RNAcentral.